CUUUUAAAGGAUCAAAGUCUAAUCCGUUGGUCUUAGGACCA
Molecule: transfer RNA, 41 nt
Filed under: Egernia napoleonis
Lineage: Eukaryota; Metazoa; Chordata; Lepidosauria; Squamata; Scincidae
Description: partial tRNA-Leu
Source: RNAcentral